ACGCAGACAGCUUAUAACUCACAGGCAAUCCGCUCUCUCAGCUCCCUGGUGGGCGCCGCAUCGAUGGCCGACUUGCUGUGGCAGUUUAGGAGGGUGGGAUCCGCUCCACGACUGAGCAGCAGGCUGCAGACCUCGACGCGACUUUUGGAGGCGGCCUCGUGGAGCGGCGUAAAGGCCCACAGAUCGUUGGCGUUGACAUUGGCGCCCGCCUGGAUAAGCAGCUUGGUCACAUCGAAGUGUCCGUAGGAGCAGGCAUUGUGCAGCGGCACCAGACCGCCCUUGUCCUUAGCAUGUACAUCCGCUCCGUUGGCCAGCAGAAUUUCCACGAUGCCGAUCCGAUUGUAGCCCGCUGCCAGAUGGAGCGGCGUUGAGCGUCGUCCAUCGCUGGCAUGACAGUUGACAUUGAGUGGCGUGAGUAGGGCCAGCAGGCGAUCCUCGGCCCCCGAGCGUGCGGCUUCAAGCAGCUCAUCCUUUCGAUAUUCGCCGGUCAAUACGGGACGCGUCGCCUCGUCCGCCAGCUCCAGUGGUGUCUUCUGCUCCGAGUUGCGGAUCGUAUGGUUUGCGCCAUGCUGCAACAGAGCCAGGCACACAUCCACCUUGCCCUUGCUGGCCGCCUCGUGCAAUGGCGUGUAGUUCCAGUUGUCGGUGGUGUUUGGACUGGCACCUGCCUUCAGCAACAAUCGAACUACCUCGGCGUGGCCAAAGGAGCAACAGUUGUGCAGCGGGUGCAGCCCACCCUCGUCACACGCCUGUAUGGAGGCGCCGCUGUUCAGCAGGAAUUCAACCACUUCCCGGCGUCCAUAACCUGGUAAAAUAAAAACGAAUAGGUUAUUAGAUGAAUGUCAUGUAUUGGUCGAUGGGAAAGCCCUACAAAUGAGCGAG
Molecule: non-coding RNA, 882 nt
Organism: Drosophila melanogaster (fruit fly)
Lineage: Eukaryota; Metazoa; Arthropoda; Insecta; Diptera; Drosophilidae
Source: Ensembl